UUAAUUGAAGCCAAAAAGAGGCUUAUUAUUGUUAAUAAUAAAACUGAAUUAAAUUCCAAUUAAG
Molecule: transfer RNA, 64 nt
Filed under: Nesodiprion zhejiangensis
Lineage: Eukaryota; Metazoa; Arthropoda; Insecta; Hymenoptera; Diprionidae
Also listed under: 1 other name
Description: tRNA-Asn
Source: RNAcentral